Long non-coding RNA from Cyprinus carpio carpio, 594 nucleotides. NCBI's taxonomy places the organism in Eukaryota, Metazoa, Chordata, Actinopteri, Cypriniformes, Cyprinidae. The record is from Ensembl.
GGAAAGGUUAAUGAAGCACAAUGGGAAAUCAGCCCUCCUCCACUAGUGCUGUGAAGAGGCUAAAAGAGUUCUCUCUAGGUGGAGUGGGAGAGAGCAGUUUCAGGUUCUCUCCAGUGAGCGAUGAAGCAGCAGUGCCCACACUGCCUGAAUCAAAGCCCAGCCCAGCCCCAGUGCGCAGGGAAACCAUGCAGGCUUUCAAUUAUUAGUCAGGCUGGGGACUGGAGGCUGAAAGCAAGAGAGGAAAGACACUCAUACAGGUUUGGAACAACUUGAGCAUGGGCCACUCAAAGGACUUCAAAACAGGCUUUUAACACUGCUCCUCCCAAGGCAAAGUUCAAUCCAGACAUGCGCCGUGGGAGAUGAGCAACAGUCUACCAGCAGUGGCUGGACCAAUGUAGAAAGGAACAGGGUAGAACAACAAAUAUUUGGCAGCCAUUCGCCCAUCCAAAGGCACACAAGAGCAGCCCCCAGUCGAAUUUUUGCUUUGCUGGUGGAGAGUGUCUCCACUAAUCAAACUGUUUUCACUGAGGUCAUCACAGACGUCAGAAGAGAGUGGUUUUGGCCAGUUCUUUCUCUCUAUUUCUUUCUCUCUGC